This 655-nucleotide ribosomal RNA is filed under the name uncultured Glomus. RNAcentral's name for it is "SSU rRNA". It matches the Rfam family "Eukaryotic small subunit ribosomal RNA", at positions 357 to 1016 of the family's 1831-position model. Lineage: Eukaryota; Fungi; Glomeromycota; Glomeromycetes; Glomerales; Glomeraceae. The record is from RNAcentral.
GGGUAACGGGGUGUUAGGGCACGACACCGGAGAGGGAGCCUGAGAAACGGCUACCACAUCCAAGGAUGGCAGCAGGCGCGCAAAUUACCCAAUCCCGACACGGGGAGGUAGUGACAAUAAAUAACAAUACGGGGUUCUUUCGGAUCUCGUAAUUGGAAUGAGUACAAUUUAAAUCUCUUAACGAGGAACAAUUGGAGGGCAAGUCUGGUGCCAGCAGCCGCGGUAAUUCCAGCUCCAAUAGCGUAUAUUAAAGUUGUUGCAGUUAAAAAGCUCGUAGUUGAAUUUCGGGGUUAGUAGGUUGGUCAUGCCUCUGGUAUGUACUGGUCUCACUGAUUCCUCCUUCCUGAUGAACCGUAAUGCCAUUAAUUUGGUGUUUCGGGGAAUUUGGACUGUUACUUUGAAAAAAUUAGAGUGUUUAAAGCAAGCUAACGCUUGAAUACAUUAGCAUGGAAUAAUGAAAUAGGACGUUCGAUCCUAUUUUGUUGGUUUCCAGGAUUGACGUAAUGAUUAAUAGGGAUAGUUGGGGGCAUUAGUAUUCAAUUGUCAGAGGUGAAAUUCUUGGAUUUAUUGAAGACUAACUACUGCGAAAGCAUUUGCCAAGGAUGUUUUCAUUAAUCAAGAACGAAAGUUAGGGGAUCGAAGACGAUCAGAUACC